AAAUAUGUAUUUUUAAAACUAUUUCGAGUGUGAUUAAAAAUACACAAUUAAUUUAUCUAAAACGAACUGAUGUAAUAUUCACAGAUCUCGAUUGUGACUAAGUUCAAUCGGUCUAUUGCCAUAAGGCAGUGUGCUAGUAUCUUUAAACCAGCAAUCCCUCCCCUCCUCCUUCGUCGCUCUCUUUUUCUUUAACCAAAAUUCUAAUUCAAAUUUCAGUAGUCCUAAUUAUUCAUUCUAAUUUUUUAUUUCAAUAUUAAAUUAAAUAUUUUUAUAUAAUUUGUCCUUCUAUUUUUGCAUUAUAAUCACCAAUCAAACAUUUAAAUGUUUUAGGUCCAUAGGCCUGUUUUGGGUUGCAAACAGGUGCAUUAAAUACAAAAAGUAUGAUGAUAAAAUAUUUCCUUUGCCUUUAUAAGUGAUAAUACAUAUAUAUAUAUAGAGAGAGAGAGAGAGAGUCCGGCUACUGUACUCUUAUGAGUACUAUCACUCUCGUAUUUAUAAGUUAUUUUCGAUGAUAGAGCUUCCGAAUCGACGAUCCAUACUGUUAAAUAUUUUUUAGAGCAUUUAAAACUUUCAGAAAUCAAAUUUCAUAAUUUUUCAAUAUCAUUUACCUUACGAUCAAACGCUCACAAAAUUGAUAAUUUUUAACGGCCGGUAUGGAAUACUUGCCAGUUUAACGGUGCAAAAAAAUCGGAAUAGAUUGAAUUUUUGAUAGAAAAUUUUAUUCACUACCUAGAUAAUGACCAAUAACUCCGAUCUUAAAUUGAAGGAUUCGAUCAUCCUUUUUUAGGACGUCGAUCGAUUUUGACCGUUCAUUUUAUACAUAUUUGAUGGACUCUAUUAUGAUUUUGAAAAAUUACGAAAUUUAUUUUCUACAAGUUUCAAAUACUCUAGAUCAUAUUUAACGGAGUGGAUCGUCGAUUCGGAAGCUUCAUCAUCGAAAACAACUUAUGAGUACGAAGGGCCCAAUACUCAUAAGAGUAUAGUAGCCCUACUAUAUAUAUAUAU
Molecule: long non-coding RNA, 1005 nt
Filed under: Ananas comosus (pineapple)
Lineage: Eukaryota; Viridiplantae; Streptophyta; Magnoliopsida; Poales; Bromeliaceae
Description: long non-coding RNA (ACOM_LNC027241)
Source: RNAcentral